CCUACGGGAGGCAGCAGUGAGGAAUAUUGGUCAAUGGACGAGAGUCUGAACCAGCCAAGUAGCGUGAAGGAUGACUGCCCUAUGGGUUGUAAACUUCUUUUAUAAAGGAAUAAAACGAGGCACGUGUGCCUUUUUGCAUGUACUUCAUGAAUAAGGAUCGGCUAACUCCGUGCCAGCAGCCGCGGUAAUACGGAGGAUCCGAGCGUUAUCCGGAUUUAUUGGGUUUAAAGGGAGCGUAGAUGGGUUGUUAAGUCAGUUGUGAAAGUUUGCGGCUCAACCGUAAAAUUGCAAUUGAUACUGGCAGUCGUGAGUACAGUUGAGGUAAGCGGAAUUCGUGGUGUAGCGGUGAAAUGCUUAGAUAUCACGAAGAACCCCGAUUGCGAAGGCAGCUUACUAAACUGUGACUGACAUUGAUGCUCGAAAGUGUGGGUAUCAAACAGGAUUAGAUACCCGGGUAGUC
RNAcentral lists this ribosomal RNA (460 nucleotides) under uncultured bacterium. RNAcentral describes it as "partial 16S ribosomal RNA". It matches the Rfam family "Bacterial small subunit ribosomal RNA", at positions 338 to 795 of the family's 1533-position model. The record is from RNAcentral.